Molecule: ribosomal RNA, 447 nt
Filed under: Neisseria flavescens
Lineage: Bacteria; Pseudomonadati; Pseudomonadota; Betaproteobacteria; Neisseriales; Neisseriaceae
Description: bacterial SSU rRNA
Rfam family: Bacterial small subunit ribosomal RNA
Source: RNAcentral
AUUGAACGCUGGCGGCAUGCUUUACACAUGCAAGUCGGACGGCAGCACAGAGAAGCUUGCUUCUUGGGUGGUGAGUGGCGAACGGGUGAGUAACAUAUCGGAACGUACCGAGUAAUGGGGGAUAACUAAUCGAAAGAUUAGCUAAUACCGCGUAUUCUCUGAGGAGGAAAGCAGGGGACCUUCGGGCCUUGCGUUAUUUGAGCGGCCGAUAUCUGAUUAGCUAGCUGGUGGGGUAAAGGCCUACCAAGGCGACGAUCAGUAGCGGGUCUGAGAGGAUGAUCCGCCACACUGGGACUGAGACACGGCCCAGACUCCUACGGGAGGCAGCAGUGGGGAAUUUUGGACAAUGGGCGCAAGCCUGAUCCAGCCAUGCCGCGUGUCUGAAGAAGGCCUUCGGGGUUGUAAAAGGGACUUUUGUCAAGGGAAAGAAAAAGGAACCAGGGGUAA